RNAcentral lists this non-coding RNA (639 nucleotides) under Pongo abelii (Sumatran orangutan). The record is from RNAcentral. Lineage: Eukaryota; Metazoa; Chordata; Mammalia; Primates; Hominidae.
AGCCCUCAGCGUACAUGCCAGCUAAUUACAGAUGCAGGAGCAAACCCCUGGCCCAUACAUCAGUUGGGUGUGGUGACUCACACCUGCAAUCCCAGCACUUUGGGAGGCUGAGGAGAGCAGAUCACUUGAGGCCAGGAGUUCGAGACCAGUCUGGGCAACAUAACUUUGAGUCUUGCUCUAUGGCCCAGACUGGAGUGCAGUGGCAUGAUCUCGGCUCACUUCAACCUCCACCUCCAGGGUUCGAGAGAGAUUCUCCUGCCUUAUCUUCCCAAGUAGCUGGGAUCACCAACGCCCACAACCACACCCGGCUAAUUUUUGUACUUUUAGUGGAGACAGGGUUUCGCCAUGUUGGCUAGGCUGGUCUCAAACUCCCGACCUCAGGUGAUCCACCUGCCUUGGCCUCCCAAAGUGCUGGGAUUACAGACGUGAGCCCCCGCACCUGGCCAAGAUCAGCUAGAUUUUGGAAGCAUUGCCUUCUACAGAAUCCACAGUAGUCCGAAGUUCUUCUACGGUUUUUGUCAAACUUUGAUUUUCCAUCUCUAGCUUCAAUAAUCUACUUGAUGUCAACUCAUUCACCUCAUGGCCCAGGGAUUUCUGCGGUGCUAUAAUAUUGAAAAAUACACCAUUGUAUUUACUCUG